UUCUUAGAGACUUCUGUGUUUGAUUUAUUAUUAUUUCAUCUUCUGUAUUUCACUUAUUACUCUUGCUUGUGUACUUAGCAAACUCCUUUUUCUUGCUUCAACAGUGAUGGAUCGCUGCCUGUCUUCUGAGUUAAACAACAGUUUUAAUGCUUUAGAACUUGCUAGUGAAAAAUAGUAAGUUUGACACAUACAGAAUCCUUGCAUCAACAAAUAAAUAACAAGGUUGCUAGUUAUUCAGAGAAUAUCUAAUGAAUGCUUCAGUUUAGACAGCACAGGAACUGCAGGAUUCUUGUCAGAAUUCAUACAUCGGUAAACUUUAAUGCUGGCUUUAUCCCCACGUGGGCUUCCCAACACAGACCUCCUAGGUACCUAAACCUGGUGGUUGUUUGCACUGUCAUAAACAUCUGGCAGAGAAGUCUGCUGAAGGCGAGCCUUUGCUGUGUGAUGACAAAAUUAAGGGCUGCACAAAUGGAUAAAAUUAAGGUUGCCUGGGUUACCUUCAGAUAUUUCCUGUCUGUUCCUUGCUCAGCUCUGCAAACUUGUUGCUUGUUCAUUUUGAUACAGCAUCUGUAUGUACGUAAGCUUCAGGACUUCAACACCGCAAACAGAGCUGUGUGCUGAAGUGAAAGGUCUUGUCAUGAUCCCAAGGAUAAUUCUCUGACCAUUUUUCAUGUGACAGCUUUCCAACUGCUCUCACCAGGGAUGAAAAGCUGGCGUGCUGUGCUUGGGAGGAUCAGCAUACCGUGAAGCUUCAGACAUGUUUCGGGGCCUGACAGUUGUUUCUCCCUGUCUUUGCUUAGGUUGAGCUGAAGGAAAAGAUUCUAGCUCUUAAAUGCUUGUUAGAGACACCUUUACAAACAAGGUAAUCUUUACUCUGAGUAUCCAGCAAUGGAUGUAGAGAUACAGCGCAGAAGGCCUGAUCCUCCCACGCAUCCUUCUAAAUCCUGUGGGAUUCAAGCAGGUUGGGCAGCAGGCCAGGAUACCUUCUUAGUGAGUUGUCUAAGGUCAAGAUGGAGAUCAUUGGCAAAAUCAGAAGGAGAACUCAAGUACCCACAGCUCAUGUCACACAGAAACUCUGCAAGAUGCUGAGGCCCUCUUAGGGUCAAACAUUUCACGAAGUGCAGUAUCUCUCUGCACCAUGUAUAUGCAUGUGUCAUGCCAAAUUUGAUGAGUUGUUGAGGAUAUUAUGAACAGUAUAUUGCAUUAAAGAAAGGCUUAAAUUUCUGUAGUCUCAUGGAAAACAGUGUUAUGAACCACACAAAAAGAUCAAAUUAAUAGCUUUCUUUCAAGACAAAUAUGAUCUAGAGAACAUAUUUGUUAUUUGUAUAUAUUUUUACGCAUAUUUACAGUAUUUGAAAUUGAAGAUGACAUGCAGGAAUAGGGCUGACAGAUUUUUUCUAACGUGCACGUUUAUAAAGGUGACUAUAGUUCCUCUUUCAUAGGCCCUUCUGACACAGUCACCACUUAGGAAUUGAUUUUGCCUUGCCUGUGUCAGUGUAUAGUGCUUUUUGAUAGAUGUGGCUUCCACAUAUUUAUCAAUUUCUUUUCUUGGAAAAGUAGGGUUGAUACUGCGGUCAAGAAAAAAUGAAGACAAUAUAACACGUGGCCAUCUUAGUAGGAGUUUUAGUAUUGCAUUUGGUGACUUGACUUUAGUUAGUUAUUUAAAUAGUAAGUUAGUUUAGGUUUUAUAUACUAUACAUCAAGAAAAUCCUUUCCAAAAACUAAAUCAUAAUAAUAAUUAAAAAAAAAAAAAACCAACUCUGUGUAAAUGCUGGAUAUAAGUUAGACUGUGACUUUAUAUUCCUGUGACCAAUCAUACACUGGAGGAAAUAAUUCACUG
This is a long non-coding RNA of Meleagris gallopavo (turkey), 1840 nucleotides long. NCBI's taxonomy places the organism in Eukaryota, Metazoa, Chordata, Aves, Galliformes, Phasianidae. The record is from Ensembl.